This 66-nucleotide transfer RNA is filed under the name Kisaura adamickai. RNAcentral's name for it is "tRNA-His". The record is from RNAcentral. Lineage: Eukaryota; Metazoa; Arthropoda; Insecta; Trichoptera; Philopotamidae.
AUUUAAUUAGUUUAUAAAAAAUUUUGAUUUGUGGAAUCAAGGAAGUAUAAAUAAGUACAUUAAAUU